This 253-nucleotide ribosomal RNA is filed under the name uncultured bacterium. RNAcentral describes it as "partial 16S ribosomal RNA". It matches the Rfam family "Bacterial small subunit ribosomal RNA", at positions 524 to 776 of the family's 1533-position model. The record is from RNAcentral.
AACGUAGGACACGAGCGUUAUCCGGAGUUACUGGGCGUAAAGGGCGUUCAGGCGGGUGAUUAAGUUCGCUAUGAAAGCGCCGGGCUAAACCCGGCGAGGCUGGCGGAUACUGGUCAUCUGGAGUCGGCGAGAGGGAGGUAGAAUUCCGCGUGUAGUGGUGAAAUGCGUAGAGAUGCGGAGGAAUACCAGUGGCGAAGGCGGCCUCCUGGCGCACGACUGACGCUGAAGCGCGAAAGCAUGGGGAGCGAACGGG